Molecule: ribosomal RNA, 314 nt
Filed under: uncultured bacterium
Lineage: Bacteria
Description: partial 16S ribosomal RNA
Rfam family: Bacterial small subunit ribosomal RNA
Source: RNAcentral
GUAUAAGAGACAGCAGUAGCCGCGGUAAUACGAAGGGUGCAAGCGUUACUCGGAAUUACUGGGCGUAAAGCGUGCGUAGGUGGUGGUUUAAGUCCGUUGUGAAGGCCCUGGGCUCAACCUGGGAAUUGCAGUGGAUACUGGGUCACUAGAGUGUGGUAGAGGAUAGUGGAAUUUCCGGUGUAGCAGUGAAAUGCGUAGAGAUCGGAAGGAACAUCUGUGGCGAAGGCGACUAUCUGGGCCAACACUGACACUGAGGCACGAAAGCGUGGGGAGCAAACAGGAUUAGAUACCCCCGUAGUCCCUGUCUCUUAUAC